RNAcentral lists this transfer RNA (70 nucleotides) under Neotoma lepida (desert woodrat). It matches the Rfam family "tRNA". From Rfam's summary of the family: Transfer RNA (tRNA) molecules are approximately 80 nucleotides in length. Their secondary structure includes four short double-helical elements and three loops (D, anti-codon, and T loops). Further hydrogen bonds mediate the characteristic L-shaped molecular structure. tRNAs have two regions of fundamental functional importance: the anti-codon, which is responsible for specific mRNA codon recognition, and the 3' end, to which the tRNAs corresponding amino acid is attached (by aminoacyl-tRNA synthetases). tRNAs cope with the degeneracy of the genetic code in two manners: having more than one tRNA (with a specific anti-codon) for a particular amino acid; and 'wobble' base-pairing, i.e. permitting non-standard base-pairing at the 3rd anti-codon position. The record is from Rfam by way of RNAcentral. Lineage: Eukaryota; Metazoa; Chordata; Mammalia; Rodentia; Cricetidae.
GGGGGUAUAGCUCAGGGGUUGAGUUCAUGUUUAGCACACAUGAGGCCAUGGGAUAAAUCCCCAGCCCCCA